UACAGAGGGUGCAAGCGUUGUUCGGAAUUAUUGGGCGUAAAGCGCGUGUAGGCGGCUUUGCAAGUCGGAAGUGAAAGCCCUCGGCUCAACCAAGGAAGUGCUUUCGAAACUGCUGAGCUUGAGUACUUAAGAGGAUCGCGGAAUUCCCGGUGUAGAGGUGAAAUUCGUAGAUAUCGGGAGGAACACCAGUGGCGAAGGCGGCGAUCUGGGAAGAUACUGACGCUGAGGUGCGAAAGCGGUGGGGAGCAAACAGG
Molecule: ribosomal RNA, 254 nt
Filed under: uncultured bacterium
Lineage: Bacteria
Description: partial 16S ribosomal RNA
Rfam family: Bacterial small subunit ribosomal RNA
Source: RNAcentral